UUGUAAAAUGGUGGUCGGAAGGUGACUCUUUUUUGAGUGUUAUAGCCGGCUGCAGAUGCAACGAUCGGGGUUGAGGUUUGCGGCAAAUGCCUUUGGGCUACUUACCUUCCUUCUGAUCUGUUCACUUUGAAAUGACAGCUUGCUGACAUUUUAAAGGGCGUUCAAUCAAUAGGGUAGAGUAGGAUAAAUUUGCCAAGGAUGCUGACGUAAUGACCUUAAACGACCCGUCUUGAAACACGGCUGUCUCUUAUAC
This 253-nucleotide ribosomal RNA is filed under the name uncultured Archaeospora. Its description in RNAcentral is "partial 28S ribosomal RNA". Lineage: Eukaryota; Fungi; Glomeromycota; Glomeromycetes; Archaeosporales; Archaeosporaceae. The record is from RNAcentral.